CCUACGGGAGGCAGCAGUGGGGAAUAUUGCACAAUGGGGGGAACCCUGAUGCAGCAACGCCGCGUGGGUGAAGAAGUACUUCGGUAUGUAAAGCCCUGUCAGCAGGGAAGAAAAUGACGGUACCUGACCAAGAAGCCCCGGCUAACUACGUGCCAGCAGCCGCGGUAAUACGUAGGGGGCAAGCGUUAUCCGGAUUUACUGGGUGUAAAGGGAGCGUAGACGGCAAGGUAAGUCUGGAGUGAAAGCCCGGGGCCCAACCACGGGACUGCUUUGGAAACUGUGUUGCUGGAGUGCAGGAGGGGGAGGCGGAAUUCCUGGUGUAGCGGUGAAAUGCGUAGAGAUUAGGAGGAACACCGGUGGCGAAGGCGGCUUACUGGACUGAAACUGACGUUGAGGCUCGAAGGCGUGGGGAGCAAACAGGAUUAGAUACCCCUGUAGUC
Molecule: ribosomal RNA, 440 nt
Filed under: uncultured bacterium
Lineage: Bacteria
Description: partial 16S ribosomal RNA
Rfam family: Bacterial small subunit ribosomal RNA
Source: RNAcentral